UGGCCGCCAGUGUCGGGUAAGCCUAAGACAUCUGCUUGUCCAAAGUAGCCAUGAACGGAGAAGACAACGACAUUGUAUAUGACCGGAAGCCUACUGAAAAAAGCUUCCAUGUUUGCAGGAUCAGGUGCUUGCAUUAUCUCAGAAAGUAUCCUCAUCGUUUCCCGAGUUCUUUCUGCAUUAUCUCCCCACCCUUUCUCAAAUCCCCAUUCUUUAAGCCUGUAGAAUGUGCAAGUUAAAGAACAAAGUUAAAUUUGAAUUUAUUUACUUUUUUCCCUUCUCAUUACAGGAUAAAGAAGAUGAGGUCAUUACUUCUGCUCAAAAUUCUGGUAUGGAGUUUCCUUUGGCAUAGCAGAGACGAAAACUUCUCCGAUUACUAAUGCUUCUUGAAGCUUCAUAACAGUAUCAAUAGUCUCAUUGAUCAUAAGUUUCUGCAAAAGGGAUUUCCAAAAAAGUUAUGGAUCUAAUAAGCAACUUUUCAAUCUGCAGGUGGUGACCUUCAAACUCCCCUACCUCUCCGUUUCGUUCAAGAGUUAACAGGUAAUCAACCAAAGGCUUCGCGCUCUCAGGCUUCCCACCAAGCACCGAGGUCAUGAAUUUAGAGACGUAGCCGAGCCCAUUCCCAAUUGAAGACGAUAGAGUCAGUUUUGGAGUGCCAAUAUCAAACACUCCAAAAUCUAUCUCUAGAGAAUUUUCAUCACUUGCCCUGCGUCAAAAAAAAGAACAUUAUUUGUUGAAACUCAGAGAAAAAUCCUCUACAAAUAUCAGGUACUUACCACUUCUCAUCAUAGAUCAUUUCUUUGAACUUCAAAUAAUCUGUUGAUGUGAUUAUUUCCACAGAAAGGCUGUCUCCUUCCACCUUCACAUAGUCCCAAAUACCAGGAUUAUGCCUUACUGCAAACGCAACGUAUGGUGGCACGACUGCUGCUUCCUGCAUUUCAUUAUCGAAGGCUGAAUACCAAGUAGUUGCUAGCAGAGUU
This 977-nucleotide long non-coding RNA is filed under the name Salvia miltiorrhiza (redroot sage). RNAcentral describes it as "long non-coding RNA (SMIL_LNC002523)". Lineage: Eukaryota; Viridiplantae; Streptophyta; Magnoliopsida; Lamiales; Lamiaceae. The record is from RNAcentral.